Esox lucius (northern pike) is the source of this 2789-nucleotide long non-coding RNA. RefSeq lists it as uncharacterized. NCBI's taxonomy places the organism in Eukaryota, Metazoa, Chordata, Actinopteri, Esociformes, Esocidae. The record is from RefSeq and is a predicted model, not a curated record. The transcript is spliced from 3 exons.
CGAGUAGGUGAGUAUGUGUAAGAGGUGGUGGAUGAGUAGGUGAGUAUGUGUAAGAGGUGGUGGAUGAGUAGGUGAGUAUGUAGCUGAGGUGGUGUACGAGGAGGUGAGUAUGUAGCAGAGGUGGUGGACGAGUAGGUGAGUAUGUGUAAGAGGUGGUGGACGAGUAGGUGAGUAUGUGUAAGAGGUGGUGGAUGAGUAGGUGAGUAUGUAGCAGAGGUGGUGGACGAGUAGGUGAGAACGUGUAAGAGGUGGUGGAUGAGUAGGUGAGUAUGUAGCAGAGGUGGUGGACGAGUAGGUGAGUAUGUGUAAGAGGUGGUGGACGAGUAGGUGAGUAUGUGUAAGAGGUGGUGGAUGAGUAGGUGAGUAUGUAGCAGAGGUGGUGGACGAGUAGGUGAGUAUGUGUAAGAGGUGGUGGAUGAGUAGGUGAAUAUUUAGCAGAGGUGGUGUACAAGGAGGUAUGUGUCAUAUGUAGUGGAUGAGGAGGAAGUGUAUGUGUAAGAGGUGGUGGAUGAGUAGGUGAGUAUGUGUAAGAGGUGGUGGACGAGGAGGUAUGUGUCAUAUGUAGUGGACGAGGAGGAAGUGUAUGUGUAAGAGAUGGUGGAUGAGCAGGAAGUGAUGCUGAGGCAGAAUUAAUCUCUCAUUGACUUUGAUUUUGCAGUUGCACAACAUUUUUUUGUUUAUUGUAAUGUGCUUUUCAUUUAGUUUUCCUUAAUCAAUGGGUUUUUGCAGUGGACUACUGUAUUUUUUGCCACUGCUGAAUAUACAGACAUUCAGUACUGUAUCACUUGCAGUACUUAGAGUAAUCAAGAUGUUCACUGAACAAAGUUGUGAUUAUUACACUUUUCUCUUGUAAAAUGUGUUUACUAUUAUUACUAUUUUUUAUCUGUAUGUAAUGGAUGCUCUGUGGUGUUGAUUUUGAGAACAGAUGGAAUGGUUUUGAGGUGUGUGUUUGAUUUUGACAGAGGUGUCAGGGUUUUGUGAAUGUAGUUUGAAGAUUUGAGAAAAUGGGUGUGGGUUUCAUGAAAUGUCUUAGCAAUUAUGAAAAACGGAAAGAAAAAAGACUGGUUCAAUAGAUGGCGUUUGGUGCAGGUAAGGUGAGUGAUACAUUAACAAGGAGAUAUUUUUACUUGUGAUCAACACCAUGCAGACUGUAAAUCAGUCAGUCCACCGGCUCACUAUUCUCUUUAUGUUGUGAAACCCUACAAUAAAUAUACUAUUUGUCUUUCUGAGGGUUUAUCAGUAAGUCAAUGAGAUACAAAGAAGCAGCUUUGGAAUGUUGUGGUGUUGGUAUAAACUGCGUCAGACUGUUGAAUGCGUUUAUCUUGUCUAGACUCAAGCUGUUUUGGUUGUACUGAUUUACUUUCCCGUCUCUUCACAAUACUGCAGUCUUUUCUAUAUCCAUGUACUAAGAAAAGCUUUAUUAUAAUCGGAAUCUAAUGCCCUGACCUCUUACACCAAUGCCCAGUGGAUUUGGGAGUUGAAGAUCACAGCAAGCCAAGAUCCCUGAACUGUCUGAGGGUGUAUCUGGAGUGUGAUCAGACCAGGAAAUCUGAUCCUCUCCUGUCUCUUCUAUGUUACCUCCCUCCCCCAGGACAUGCUGGGAAAAGAUAAGUUACACAAGAACUGAGACAGCCAGGCAUCCUCAAAACAUCCCACUACCACCAUGUUGUCGUCUGGUAAAAAAAAGAAAAUGAAACAUUGCAUUCCAGUGUUGACACCAUAUUAAAAGGGCAAGCAUGGUGGUUGUAGUGUGAUGUUUUAGGGGCUCUUUGCUGGCACAGGACUGGGAAAAUGUAACAAAUGAUGGAACCAUACAUUUUGCUCUGUAACAUAGAACUCUAAACGAGAAGGAAAGGUUAUCCGUCCAGUAGAUGGAGCUGAAGUGCACCUGGGUCACUUGAAGACAAUUGCCAAACUGCUCUAUCUCGGUCCUUGCACUCCAAUGGUGGAACAAGCUCCCCCCCACUGAAAGUGUCUGCCCAUUAAGAACAUGGGAAACGUAAUCUUUUCAAUGAGUAUCUGAAGUAACUCCACAUCCACCCACUCGGUUGCCUUGGUGAACUAAUAUGUAGCUGCUACAUUGUGUGGUUUUUAUCCAGAUGUUUUAAUGAAUGCCCUCCAGAUGCACAGUCACCUUAUUUCAGAGCACGACCUCUAGGUCAGUGUUCAGAACCAAACCCAAUUAAGAUGUAAUCAUGAUCUAUAAACACCAGAUAAUGCCCACAGUUCCAAGCAUUGUUCUAUUAAAAUAUGGACCAAGCAAUGUGAGAGACUUAUAAAGAACAUAAAAAAAAUCCCUGAAUAGGCAUUCUGUCCCCACCCAAGGCAUUUGAACCUAACUGCCACUCGGGUGCUUACUGUGGCAGCUCCCUGUACCUUAUCCAUUUGAAGAGGUGGGGUCAAAUGCAAAGCUAAAAUGUGCUUGUGUGCAAAAUUACAAAUAUCCCCUUUCCCAAACCAGUGAGUGAGUCAUUACCCUGGCUGGUUAGUCCCCCUGGGCAACCAGUCAUCCACAACCAGCCUAGCAAGCCCAAGAACAGGUGCAACAACAUUCCCCCUCCCACCACACGCACAUAUAGCCCACCCUGUAAACACUAAGCCCUGGGGCCAGGCUCCGCUGCAUAUCACAAUGACAAAUGUGUACGUGGGAGAGAAGCACCUUGAAAUGCAUUCACCGUAGAUGUGCUGUAUAAAUAAAGUUUGGUUUGAUUUAGCAAUGUUUUGUUGCAGAGCACUUUAUACCUCCCUUCUCAUAUUUUCCUCCCAGGGCCUGGCUCUGUGUCCUGUGU